RNAcentral lists this ribosomal RNA (466 nucleotides) under uncultured bacterium. RNAcentral describes it as "partial 16S ribosomal RNA". It matches the Rfam family "Bacterial small subunit ribosomal RNA", at positions 28 to 507 of the family's 1533-position model. The record is from RNAcentral.
GAUGAACGCUGGCGGCGUGCUUAACACAUGCAAGUCGAACGAUGAAGCCCAGCUUGCUGGGUGGAUUAGUGGCGAACGGGUGAGUAACACGUGAGUAACCUGCCCUUGACUCUGGGAUAAGCCUGGGAAACUGGGUCUAAUACUGGAUAUGACUUCUCAUCGCAUGGUGGGGGGUGGAAAGAUUUAUUGGUCUUGGAUGGACUCGCGGCCUAUCAGCUUGUUGGUGAGGUAAUGGCUCACCAAGGCGACGACGGGUAGCCGGCCUGAGAGGGUGACCGGCCACACUGGGACUGAGACACGGCCCAGACUCCUACGGGAGGCAGCAGUGGGGAAUAUUACACAAUGGGCGCAAGCCUGAUGCAGCGACGCCGCGUGAGGGAUGACGGCCUUCGGGUUGUAAACCUCUUUCAGUAGGGAAGAAGCGAGAGUGACGGUACCUGCAGAAGAAGCGCCGGCUAACUACGUG